RNAcentral lists this unclassified non-coding RNA (244 nucleotides) under uncultured fungus. RNAcentral describes it as "sequence contains ITS1, 5.8S rRNA gene". The stretch from base 196 to 244 matches the Rfam family "5.8S ribosomal RNA", at positions 1 to 49 of the family's 154-position model. Lineage: Eukaryota; Fungi. The record is from RNAcentral.
UCUCCGUAGGUGAACCUGCGGAGGGAUCAUUACCGAGUGAAGGGGGCUCCGGCCCCCGACCUCCCAACCCUUUGUUCCAACCAACUCUGUUGCCUCGGGGGGCGACCCGGACGUCCGUCGGGCGUCGGGCACCCCCGGAGGACCCAACCACAACCCUGCAUCCAUGCGUCGGAGUAUUGAAAGCAAAUCAAUCAAAACUUUCAACAACGGAUCUCUUGGUUCUGGCAUCGAUGAAGAACGCAGC